This 64-nucleotide transfer RNA is filed under the name Senga ophiocephalina. RNAcentral describes it as "tRNA-Pro". The record is from RNAcentral. Lineage: Eukaryota; Metazoa; Platyhelminthes; Cestoda; Bothriocephalidea; Bothriocephalidae.
CUAACUUUAGUUUAUAUUUAGAAUGAGGGUUUUGGGGAUCCUUGGGCUCGUUAGAGAAGUUCGA